RNAcentral lists this ribosomal RNA (253 nucleotides) under uncultured bacterium. RNAcentral describes it as "partial 16S ribosomal RNA". It matches the Rfam family "Bacterial small subunit ribosomal RNA", at positions 524 to 776 of the family's 1533-position model. The record is from RNAcentral.
GACAGAGGGUGCAAACGUUGUUCGGAAUUACUGGGCGUAAAGCGCGUGUAGGCGGCAUGGCAAGUCGGGUGUGAAAGCCCUGGGCUCAACCUAGGAAGUGCACUCGAAACUGCCACGCUGGAGUCUUGGAGAGGAAGGCGGAAUUCUCGGUGUAGAGGUGAAAUUCGUAGAUAUCGGGAGGAACACCGGUGGCGAAGUCGGCCUUCUGGACAAUCACUGACGCUGAGACGCGAAAGCGUGGGGAGCAAACAGG